This 497-nucleotide ribosomal RNA is filed under the name uncultured bacterium. RNAcentral's name for it is "partial 16S ribosomal RNA". It matches the Rfam family "Bacterial small subunit ribosomal RNA", at positions 28 to 507 of the family's 1533-position model. The record is from RNAcentral.
GAUGAACGCUGGCGGCGUGCCUAAUACAUGCAAGUCGAGCGAACAGACGAGGAGCUUGCUCCUCUGACGUUAGCGGCGGACGGGUGAGUAACACGUGGAUAACCUACCUAUAAGACUGGGAUAACUUCGGGAAACCGGAGCUAAUACCGGAUAAUAUAUUGAACCGCAUGGUUCAAUAGUGAAAGACGGUUUUGCUGUCACUUAUAGAUGGAUCCGCGCCGCAUUAGCUAGUUGGUAAGGUAACGGCUUACCAAGGCGACGAUGCGUAGCCGACCUGAGAGGGGGAUCGGCCACACUGGAACUGAGACACGGUCCAGAGUCCUACGGGAGGCAGCAGUAGGGAAUCUUCCGCAAUGGGCGAAAGCCUGACGGAGCAACGCCGCGUGAGUGAUGAAGGUCUUCGGAUCGUAAAACUCUGUUAUUAGGGAAGAACAAAUGUGUAAGUAACUAUGCACGUCUUGACGGUACCUAAUCAGAAAGCCACGGCUAACUACGUG